Molecule: ribosomal RNA, 279 nt
Filed under: uncultured bacterium
Lineage: Bacteria
Description: partial 16S ribosomal RNA
Rfam family: Bacterial small subunit ribosomal RNA
Source: RNAcentral
UGCCAGCAGCCGCGGUAAUACGGAGGGUGCGAACGUUAAUCGGAAUUACUGGGCGUAAGGCGCGCGUAGGCGGUUUGUUAAGUGGGAUGUGAAAGCCCCGGGCUCAACCUGGGAACUGCAUUCCAAACUGGCAAGCUAGAGUGUGGUAGAGGAAGGUAGAAUUUCCUGUGUAGCGGUGAAAUGCGUAGAUAUAGGAAGGAAUACCAGUGGCGAAGGCGGCCUUCUGGACCAACACUGACGCUGAGGUGCGAAAGCGUGGGGAGCAAACAGGAUUAGAUA